AUGACCGUGCCAGAAUGCUUACCCAUCAAUCACUUGAAUUUGGGUUUUUUAACUAAUUUGGUGCCGGCGGUAAUAGUAAAGACUUCUCAGUUAGGGCCAACCAUUUGGAACGAAUGCUAAUACCUGAUAUUAUGAUUUUAAGGCAUCUUAGAAUUAUGAAAGCUAUACGCGCUGUGAGAGAGCUUUGCGUCCCAUUAGCUAGUUGGAGAGGUAACGGCUCACCAAGGCGAUGAUGGGUAGCCAGCCUGAGAGGGUGAACGGCCACAAGGGGACUGAGACACGGCCCUUACUCCUACGGGAGGCAGCAGUGGGGAAUAUUGGACAAUGGACCAAGAGUCUGAUCCAGCAAUUCUGUGUGCACGAUGACGUUUUUCGGAAUGUAAAGUGCUUUCAGUUGGGAAGAAAAAAAUGACGGUACCAACAGAAGAAGUGACGGCUAA
This 440-nucleotide ribosomal RNA is filed under the name Fusobacterium sp. oral taxon A11. RNAcentral describes it as "bacterial SSU rRNA". It matches the Rfam family "Bacterial small subunit ribosomal RNA", at positions 37 to 500 of the family's 1533-position model. Lineage: Bacteria; Fusobacteriati; Fusobacteriota; Fusobacteriia; Fusobacteriales; Fusobacteriaceae. The record is from RNAcentral.